UACGAAGGGUGCAAACGUUGCUCGGAAUUAUUGGGCGUAAAGAGCUCGUAGGCGGUCUGUCGCGUCGGCUGUGAAAACCUGGGGCUCAACUCCGGGCCUGCAGCCGAUACGGGCAGACUAGAAUUCGGUAGGGGAGACUGGAAAUCCUGGUGUAGCGGUGAAAUGCGCAGAUAUCAGGAGGAACACCAAUUGCGAAGGCAGCUCGCUGGGACGUUACUGACGCUGAGACGCGAAAGCGUGGGGAGCAAACAGG
RNAcentral lists this ribosomal RNA (253 nucleotides) under uncultured bacterium. Its description in RNAcentral is "partial 16S ribosomal RNA". It matches the Rfam family "Bacterial small subunit ribosomal RNA", at positions 524 to 776 of the family's 1533-position model. The record is from RNAcentral.